UACGAAGGUGGCAAGCGUUACUCGGAAUUACUAGGCGUAAAGGGCAGGUAGGCGGUUUGAUGAGUCUGUUGUGAAAGCUCCCGGCUUAACUGGGAGAGGUCAACAGAUACUGUCGAACUUGAGUAUGGGAGAGGGUACUGGAAUUCCUGGUGUAGCGGUGAAAUGCGCAGAGAUCAGGAGGAACACCAAUGGCGAAAGCAGGUACCUGGACCAUUACUGACGCUCAGCUGCGAAAGCUAGGGGAGCAAACAGG
RNAcentral lists this ribosomal RNA (253 nucleotides) under uncultured prokaryote. Its description in RNAcentral is "partial 16S ribosomal RNA". It matches the Rfam family "Bacterial small subunit ribosomal RNA", at positions 524 to 776 of the family's 1533-position model. The record is from RNAcentral.